UUGCCAAAGUUCGAGGUCCAUGAGCUG
RNAcentral lists this unclassified non-coding RNA (27 nucleotides) under Ancylostoma ceylanicum. The record is from RNAcentral. Lineage: Eukaryota; Metazoa; Nematoda; Chromadorea; Rhabditida; Ancylostomatidae.